CCUUAGGCUCCUCUCCUGCUCAACUCCAACUCUGCAAAGUUUGCUUCAACUGCAGCCAGAGCUGUGCAGACGCCUGUGGAGUAGCAGGAUGAACAGAAGUUCCGACCCGGUGGUCACCGUCUCGGCGGCUCGUUCCUCCAUUGGUCAGUGUCCCGGAGGCACCCUACAGGUGCACAGAGAACCCGGCCAACUGCCCGCUUGCAUUCAUGGUGGUUCAUCUCUGACCGUGUGGUGGCAGAGGUUCCUUCAGUGGUGCCCUGUCCACCGUGCCUGUCCACGACCUGGGGACAACUGUCAUCAAAGAAGACCUGCAGAGGGCUAAGGUGCCUCCAGAAGAGGUGUCCGAGGCGGACACGUUUUGACCGCAGGUAACUCUUCAAUAGACCAGGAAAGGUCUGCUUCAUUAGAAACAGAACAUUUAUUGGCUCUCCCACACCCUAUCACCACCACCACCACCACCACCACCACCACGACCACCACCACCACCACCACCACCACACAUUGCUUUGGAGUUCCCUGUGGUAGGAUUCUUUCUGUCCCUCCUCCUUCCUGUAGCUGAGGUCAAAGCUUCCUUAUGAACGUUUUCCCUGAGUGAUUUUAGACCAGUGGUGUGACCGCCUUUGCAUUGUUAGGAACAGGGCCAGCCUGAUGCACAGGAAAGUAUGUAUAAUUCUCCACAUACCCCUAAAAUGUCACACAGUCGAGAAAAGUGUGUGAGCCUGACACUGUGCCAGAGCUGCAAGUGAGGCUGCAGCAGAACCCUUGACCACAUGUCGUGAGAUAGGCUGUCCGUCACUCCUAGGGGACUCUCUGGAGGAAGAAUGCUUCAUCUUACCUCUGAUUCCUGCUGUGUUUGUGGACCAGUGACUACUGUGGUCAGUUCGUGUUGAUAAUCGAUUUGGGACCUGGGUGUGUAGCUCAGGGGUGAAUUGUGCGGUUAGCGUGCAUGUGGUCACGAGUUCACUCUCUUGCCCUGCCCUGUGCUCUCUCAGCUCACAUUUGAAUCAACUGUAGAGAAAAUUGUUAACAUUCAAUACCAACUUCUGCUCUUCCUCUGUCCCAGACCAUUUGUAUGCGUGUCAAUUGGACAUCCUGUAUGUUUUAGAUGGGCGUUUUCCCUGUACAUAUGUCUUGCAUUUACCACUUGCCUGCCUGGUGCUGGGAAAAGCUGGAAGAGGACAUUGGGUUUCCUGGAACUGGAGUUACAGAUGGUUGUUGUUGUGAGCUGCUGUGCGGGUGCUGUAUGUAUAAGUCUGUCUGUGUAUCUGUCUCUGUGUCUGUCUGUGUUGAGCGCCAGGCCAAUCCAAGUCUUCUCCAAGGCUGGGUUGAUAAGAUAGAGAAACCUAGUUUAAUGUCGUUGCCGAGGAGCAGACUUGGCAAGAUCCAGUCUGAGGCUGGGUUCAGGGCCUUGGAGGACUUAAGGCUUCAGUUCCUGGGAGCUUGGUGUUUAUCCCAGAACAGGCAGAAUUAUCAGUCCUAAGGCCUUUUUGUGCUCCAUCUGUGGCACUCUAAGACACCCUGUGUUCCUCUUAUAGAACAUUGAUUGAUUAGCUUCCUGCUGACUUCAUCCCCUUGCCCCAUCUCUCCCCUAAAAGCUGUCUAUAAGGUCCUGUGCUUAUGAAUAAGCUUGCUCAGUAUAGGGUAUUGCUUCUGCAGAACAUCCUGGCCACAGCUUUUCUUCUUCUUUAUCUUCUUAUCUCCUGGCCAUCUGCUUUAGGACACUGUCACAGUGUGUGUGUGUGUGUGUGUGUGUGUGUGUGUGUGUGUGUGUGUGUGUGUGUUUUUGCAUGCAUAUAUGUCUGCAUGUGUUUGUGACUGUGUGUGUGUAUGCAUGUGUGCAUGUGUUUGUGAAUGUUUGUAUGUGUGCAUGUGUUGUGAGUGUGUGUGUGUAUGCAUGUGUGCAUGUGUUUGUGAGUGUUUGUAUGUGUGCAUGUGUUUGUGAGUGUAUGUAUUCAUGUGUUUGUGAGUGUGUGUGCGUGUGUGUGUAGGUUUGGUACACAUGUAGAGGUCAGAGGACAUCUUGCUGGAGUUGUUCUUGUUCUACUGUGGGACCUGGAGAACUCUGGAGUAAAACUUGACAUCAAGUGCUUUAAGCACUGAGCUGACUGGACGGGCAGUGAUGUCCCCUGCAUCUGUGAUACAAAGGCUCACACUAGUCUGAAGUUCUCCAAGUAGGCCGGGCUGAGUGGCUGUCAGGCUCCAGAGGUCUGCCCUUCCCAGCCUUCAGCAGUGUGGUCAUAGGUGCACCACCAUGCUCUGUGCUGUUCUUUUUGUUGCUGCUGCUGUUGUUUUAGUUGGGUUUUGCGAUUAACCUCAGAACAUUUGCCCUUUACCUACUGAGCCAUCUCGUCAGCCCCAUGUCAGCUGUUUUACAUCAUAUUUUCUGUGCAUAGGUGUUGUGUUUGCAUAGAUGUUGCGAUCCCCUGUGUGUCAGUGGAGGUGUCGGGUCCCCUGGGUCUGGAGUUGUGGUCUGUAUUAGGAGCCUCCAUGUGAGUGUGAGGGAACCAAACCUGGGUCCCUAGAAGAGCAGCUAGUGCUGCCUGCCAUCUCUGCAGCUUCCAGAUCCUUCUAAGUCAGAUGCAGUGUGCUGUAUUAACUGCACAUAACAGUGGAACAGUUAGACUUAAAGGACUUUUAGCAUGCAUUCUUUUGGUUUUGAGGCUGAGGCUUGCUCUAUAGCCCAGGCUAGCCUUAAUGUAGACAGCUGCCCUCCCUGAGCUUCUAAAGGAUUAUAGGUAGGUGUGUGUUUGUGUAUGUGUGUGUGUGUGUGUGUGUGUGUGUGUGUGCGUGUGCGUUCCCACAUCUCCCUAGAGAACGUCAGCCACCUUUUGAAUGGAAUCAGUUCUCUGAGGGAACUGUGUGUUGCAGGGCACAUGAAGGAGCCCUCCAUGCUGACAGUGGUCCUGAUGAGGAAACACUGCAGGCUGCCUUAGAGCCACAGGCCACCAUGGAACACCCAGCCUCAUACUUGGCAGUUUCCUACAGGAGGUGUGUCUUUGAGAAGUAUAUUAUGUAUAAAUUUUCUUCAUUUAAAUUAACAUUGUCUGUGCAAGCACACACACGUACGUCCUGGUACCCAUGGAGGCCACAAGAGGGUGUGUGAUACCAUAGAACUGAGUUACAGGUGAGCAUGGGAUCUGAGGUCUGAUCCUCAUGAUAGAGCAUCAAGUGUUGUUAACAGUGAACCAUCUCUCCUGCAACUGAAGCAUAAUUUUGUUAGUAAUGAAUGGUUUGACCUCCCUGUAGGUUGCAAAUGCAGGCUGAUCCCUGGAGGAUGUUGACGUGUUUGAAAUCAAUGUAGCCUUUGCAGCAGUGUCUGCAGCAAUAGCUACAGAACAUAGAUCAAACCCCGAGAAGGUAACCAACCUGAAGCUGUGUUUGCCCAUGAGCUUGCACACUCUGUGUUUAGAGCUGUGAAGUAUAAGAAAUGAGGUCAAUCCCCAUGAUUGCUCACCUUGGCUAGAGAUGAACAAGCACAAGUUAAUUUUCAGUUGGGUUCACAACAAGGAACUGAGUGUGUUAGGUCACAUCAGAAUCAGUGGAACAGUCUAGAAACAGGGAGGCAGCAGAUGUCACACAGGCAUUGCUUCUUCCUAAGGUUUACAGUGAAAGUUGAGUUUGAAAGGAUAGUUUGCUAGCAUCACACUGGGGGGUAGGGUGGGGUGAGACAAAACAGGUAUGAGCCUGUGUUCAGAGGACUGACUUAAGACUUAAAGCUCUUCUUCUCUAUAGGUGAACAUCUAUGGAGGAGUCAUUGCCUUGGGCCAUCCUCUGGGAGCAUCUGGCUGUAGGAUUCUAGUGACCUUGUUACACACCCUGGAGAGAGUGGGCGGGACUAGUGGUGUUGCAGACCUGUGCACUGGGGGUGGGAUGGGGAUGGCAAUGUGUGUUCAGAGAGGAUGAGCCAUCACCCUUACAGUUCUCAUUAAAACACUAAACAGAACGUGAGACCAGAGGACCACAGUGAGGACAGGAACCCAGGUCGACAGCUUGCUGUACUUUAGUGUGAGACUCCCAAGGCUAAGACGUUGCGACAUUGCACUUGACACUGUUAUAAAACAGGGAAAUCCAGUCAGUCAUCAAGGGCUCCGGAGUGAUUGACAGUUUCAUAAUUUCCAUGUUUAUUGUCUUUGCUUCCUGGGUAUAAUUUUCUCUGAUCAUUGAUUUGUUUGUUUGUUUGUUUGUUUGUUUGUUUGUUUGUUUUUGAGUCAGGGUCUCAUCAUAUAGCCUGAAAAUCAUUUUGUAGAUGAGGUUGGCUUUGAACUCCCAGAUCCACCUUUCUGUGCCUCCUGGGUACUCGAAUGAAACGCAUGCGCCAUUAUGCAGGGCCCCCAAAAUGAUCCAUUCAAGGAAUGGGGAUGUGGUUUCUGGUUUGAACUUCAGGCUCUCGCUCAAACACCCCUGCUUGCUUGUUGUCUUGUCGUUUCCCAUUGAUCAAACCAAAACCAAUCCUGUAAUGGAAAUUGGAUUCAGUGGCCUCUUCUAAGCUGAGGUGGUGGGCUAGGUAUUCUAGCUAUUCUACUCAGAAGAUUGGCAGUCCCAACCAGUGUGCCUCUGGUUUGUUGGAAAGUAAGCAGCAAGCGCCUACCGUUCAUUUGUUUCUCUGCUUGACCAGAGGGAUGGUACUUGCUUCAAACGUCUACCUUGACUUCCCCAAAAUGAUGAACUGUGACUGGAAUUGAAAGCCAAAUAAACUCUCUCCUCCCUUGCAUUGCUUCUCAGCACUGAGUUUGAUCAUGAAAACAGAAACAAAGCCAGAGCUUAGGAUGUGGUAAGGACAGCCAGCUUCAACAGAAAAGCCUUAGUGUGCAGCAUGUUACUAAGAGGUCCCUUUGGGAUCAUUUCUGAUAAGCCGUAUGUUACUCAGAGGAACCUGCAAGGGGGUAUCACAUGUACUGUGGAAAUCAUAAGCAAACUAUAAUAGAGAUUGCAGAAGUCGGUUAUUGAAGCCAUGUGUCACAUCUGCAUGACUGGUCGGGUGAUGGCCAAAUACACAACAGCAAUCCCCUAAGAGUAUCACGGAGUAAAAGUUCCUUCCCAAUAAUGUCUGAGCAACUGGAGUCAGAGCAGGGUCAUCCAUAACAGGACAAUAGCCAACACAGUGUGCACUAACCUGCAUAGCCAGAUGUGUCACGGCAUAGCCCGUAGUUAAUGAAAAGAAGUCUUGUCAGUCCCUGAGGGGCCAGGGCUACACAUCAUGAACAUUUUGUGCCUCUACCUCAGGAACAUGCAAUAUGGUUGCACAAAUAUUUACCAGAAAUAAGCCAAGAUUGGGAUAAGUGCAUAUGUGUUGCCAUGUUUGUAUAUGCACAUUGGAGACAGGAGAGCAUGGAACCCCCUGGAACAGACUUGUGAGCCACCAUGUGGGUGCUAGGACUGAACCCAGGUCCUCUACAAGAACAACUAGUGUCGGUGCCUGAGCCCCCAGUGUGUGAAUAUCGGGCGUAGUUCUGCGGGUUGAAUGAAAACAAGUACUCGGGUCACCCAUUGUCAGAGAGUGCCACCAACACUUUACUGAGAUCUCCUUAUAUACCAGAGGGAAAAGUCAUGGAAAACAACAAGGCAGGUGAAAAUCCCUAACCAGGAAAACAGGAUAAGUCUGUGUGGUGGAAAGUCCCAGGCCCAAUCAGGGGCAUGAACAACUUCUUAGACAACAAGCUGGAAGACUCGGUGGGGAGGAAGGGGGCCAUGGAAAUCCCAGCCCCAAAUCAGGAGCUAAGAGCAGCUCCCAAGGCUGUGAACAACUUCUUGCUAUAGCAGGCUAAAAGGCUCAGCGAGGGGGGAGGGAAACACCACGGUAGGGCCUAAGAAACUAGUACUCAGCUACUGAGCGAUCUCUCUAGCCCCGUUUUUAUUUAAAUGGUGGGGUGGGAUCCAUGUGAAUAAGGUGCCUGAGAUAGCUAGGUUAAUGGCUGCUCCUGGAGCCAGUGAUUACAGGUGUUUGUAAGCCAGUGCUGGGUGGGGGGAAUUGAACCCAGGGCCUUGUGCUUGCUAGGCAAGCGCUCUACCACUAAGCUAAAUCCCCGACCCCCUUGGAAGUUUAAAUAGAGAGGAUUAGACUGCUCACUAUGAGGUUGAAUAAAAGGAUUUCAGAGUUGUCAGCAUGAUGGGUGGUUACUGAAGGGAUGGGGUGGAAUGAUGUUUUCCUGGGAGCUGCUGCAGAAUUGGGUAAGGGACAGAGUAAGCCCACAAGGGGGACUGAGGAGUGGCCAGAGAGAGGAAGUGGAAAGGCAGGAAGCUGCAGAAGCAAAGCAGAAUGGCUGUCCUUUCAGAACCCUGGAGUCCUACAGCCUGCCUGUGAGGGAGGGAGUGGGGUGUGGGGAGAAUAGCCAGAGGGAGUCUGCAAAAGGAAGAUGUAAAUGAACAUUACAAGACAAAUGAGACCAAAGAUGUUUCCUCUUUAAUUAGAAAAGACCUCACCUGGCAAAAAGCCCUUCUUGGUCAGCGUUUUUUCUAAGAUAUAGUAUGUGCCCAAGGUUUCAUCUGCUUUCUAAAGUUACACUUCCACUUUGCCUGGAGUUAGGAAAUUAUGUAAUGACUGUGUAAGGCUAAAGCCUGUCAUGGUGGUGCCCAGCUUUAAUCCCAGCAUUCAAGGAAUAGAAGCAAGUGGAUCUCUUAAAUUCCAGGCCAACCUGACCUACAUAGUGACUUAUAUAUAGGUCAGCUAUGGGUUACAUUAUGAAGUCAUGGUUGACAGGGAGAGAGAGAGAGAGAGAGAGAGA
This is a non-coding RNA of Rattus norvegicus (Norway rat), 6722 nucleotides long. Lineage: Eukaryota; Metazoa; Chordata; Mammalia; Rodentia; Muridae. The record is from RefSeq and is a predicted model, not a curated record.